CGGGGUGUAGCGCAGUCUGGUUAGCGUGCCUCGUUCGGGACGAGGAGGUCGGAGGUUCGAAUCCUCUCACCCCGA
This 75-nucleotide transfer RNA is filed under the name Dethiosulfovibrio salsuginis. Its description in RNAcentral is "tRNA_Pro_CGG". It matches the Rfam family "tRNA". Rfam says of the family: Transfer RNA (tRNA) molecules are approximately 80 nucleotides in length. Their secondary structure includes four short double-helical elements and three loops (D, anti-codon, and T loops). Lineage: Bacteria; Thermotogati; Synergistota; Synergistia; Synergistales; Dethiosulfovibrionaceae. The record is from RNAcentral.